GUUCUUAUAGUGUAUAAAGUUGCACAUUAGAUUUUCAAUUUUUUAGAACACUUUGGAGUGUUAAGAAUA
RNAcentral lists this transfer RNA (69 nucleotides) under Euprymna berryi. RNAcentral's name for it is "tRNA-Glu". Lineage: Eukaryota; Metazoa; Mollusca; Cephalopoda; Sepiida; Sepiolidae. The record is from RNAcentral.